RNAcentral lists this long non-coding RNA (1001 nucleotides) under Calidris pugnax (ruff). Its description in RNAcentral is "lncRNA (ENSCPUG00000001135.1)". Lineage: Eukaryota; Metazoa; Chordata; Aves; Charadriiformes; Scolopacidae. The record is from RNAcentral.
GUAUCACCCAGCAUCACCCAGGACAUCCCUGGACCACGCAGUGUCUCCCAGCACCCACCACUAUCCCCCAGUAUCCCCCAGUAUCCCCCAGCAUCACCCAGCAUCACCCAGAACAUCCCAGGACCACCCAGGACAUCCCAGCAUCACCCCAGCACCCACCCUGGCACCCCCCAGUAUCACCCAGUAUCACCCUGGCAUCUCCCCAGUAUAAUCCAGGACAGCCCAGGACAGCCCAGGACCACCCAGGGUCUCCCAGCAUCCACCAGCAUCCCCCAGUAUCAUCCAGCAUCACCCAGGACCACCCAGGACAUCCUAGCAUCCACCCUGGCACCCCCUGGCACCCCCCAGUAUCACCCAGUAUCACCCUGGCAUCUCCCCAGUAUCACCCAGGACAUCCCAGGACCACCCAGGACAUCCCAGUAUCACCCCAGCACCCACCCUGGCACCCCCCAGUAUCACCCAGUAUCACCCUGGCGUCUCCCCAGUAUAAUCCAGGACAUCCCAGGACCACCCAGGGUCUCCCAGCACCCACCAGCAUCCCCCAGUAUCACCCAGUAUUACCCAGCGUCAGCCAGGACAUCCCAGCACCCACCCUGGCACCCCCCGGCACCCCCCAGUAUCACCCAGGACAUCCCAGGGCCACCCAGGGUCUCCCAGCACCCACCACUAUCCCCCAGUAUUACCCAGUAUCAUGCAGCAUCACCCAGGACAUCCCAGGACCACCCAGGACAUCUCAGCAUCACCCCAGCACCCACCCUGGCACCCCCCAGUAUCACCCAGUAUCACCCUGGCAUCUCCCCAGUAUCACCCAGGACAUCCCAGGGCCACCCAGGGUCUCCCAGCACCCCCCAGUAUCACCCUGGCAUCUCCCCAGUAUAAUCCAGGACAGCCCAGGACCACCACCACGGGUGCCCCCAGGCCCCCAUCCCAGUCCCUUCCCAGUCCCGUCCCGCUGCAUCCCAACCCCCAUCCCAGUCCCGUUCCAGUCCCAUCACAGUGCC